UGGGGGAUAUUGCACAAUGGGGGGAACCCUGAUGCAGCGACGCCGCGUGAGCGAGGGAGUACUUCGGUAUGUAAAGCUCUAUCAGCAGGGAAGAUAUUGACGGUACCUGACCAAGAAGCCCCGGCUAACUACGUGCCAGCAGCCGCGGUAAUACGUAGGGGGCGAGCGUUAUCCGGAUUCACUGGGUGUAAAGGGAGCGCAGGCGGCGCGGCAAGUCCGAUGUGAAAGCCCGGGGCCCAACCCCGGGACUGCAUUGGAGACUGCCGUGCUGGAGUGCCGGAGGGGUAGGCGGAAUUCCUAGUGUAGCGGUGAAAUGCGUAGAUAUUAGGAGGAACACCAGUGGCGAAGGCGGCCUACUGGACGGUGACUGACGCUGAGGCUCGAAAGCGUGGGGAGCAAACAGG
RNAcentral lists this ribosomal RNA (404 nucleotides) under uncultured bacterium. RNAcentral's name for it is "bacterial SSU rRNA". It matches the Rfam family "Bacterial small subunit ribosomal RNA", at positions 355 to 776 of the family's 1533-position model. The record is from RNAcentral.